This is a long non-coding RNA of Cyprinus carpio (common carp), 160 nucleotides long. RefSeq lists it as uncharacterized. The record is from RefSeq and is a predicted model, not a curated record. Lineage: Eukaryota; Metazoa; Chordata; Actinopteri; Cypriniformes; Cyprinidae. The transcript has 3 exons.
CAGCCCCUCCCCGCAGAGACCCCCGCACCCAGUGUCCCACAGCAGAGAGCCAUCCACAGAAGACCCUUUGGAUGGCCUGUACGCCAAAGUCAACAAACAGCGAAGCCUUCCACCUCCUGCUGCAGACAGCAGUAUGGACCGUAUCCAGCAGCUGAGGAGG